This 252-nucleotide long non-coding RNA is filed under the name Carica papaya (papaya). Its description in RNAcentral is "long non-coding RNA (CPAP_LNC008345)". The record is from RNAcentral. Lineage: Eukaryota; Viridiplantae; Streptophyta; Magnoliopsida; Brassicales; Caricaceae.
AUAAUGGUCAGCUUCUCUUUCGACCGCUCUUCUUCUUCUUCUCUAGCAGGCUGGUUACGGCUAGGGUUAGGGUUUCGGUAGAGGAGGAGUAUUGUAGAGGAGGAGUUUAAAUACUCCUCUCCCUUCAAUCUGGAUCGUCCGUUCGAGGAUGCGUGAUCCAAUUUCUGUCGUUAGAUCCAUCUUAUUUGGAAGACAAAUCAGGACCGACCGAUCAAAUGCAUUAGGACCGUUCGAUCGCACCUAAAGAAAAAA